AUUGAACGCUGGCGGCAUGCCUUACACAUGCAAGUCGAACGGCAGCACGGGUGCUUGCACCUGGUGGCGAGUGGCGAACGGGUGAGUAAUACAUCGGAACAUGUCCUGUAGUGGGGGAUAGCCCGGCGAAAGCCGGAUUAAUACCGCAUACGAUCUACGGAUGACAGCGGGGGACCUUCAGGCCUCGCGCUAUAGGGUUGGCCGAUGGCUGAUUAGCUAGUUGGUGGGGUAAAGGCCUACCAAGGCGACGAUCAGGAGCUGGUCUGAGAGGAAGACCAGCCACACUGGGAGUGGAACACGGCCCAGACUCCUACGGGAGGCAGCAGUGGGGAAUUUUGGACAAUGGGCGAAAGCCUGAUCCAGCAAUGCCGCGUGUGUGACGAAGGCCUUCGGGUUGUAAAGCACUUUUGUCCGGAAAGAAAUCCUUGGCCCUAAUACGGUCGGGGGAUGACGGUACCGGAAGAAUAAGCACCGGCUAACUACGUG
RNAcentral lists this ribosomal RNA (486 nucleotides) under uncultured bacterium. RNAcentral describes it as "partial 16S ribosomal RNA". It matches the Rfam family "Bacterial small subunit ribosomal RNA", at positions 30 to 507 of the family's 1533-position model. The record is from RNAcentral.